Molecule: long non-coding RNA, 757 nt
Filed under: Manihot esculenta (cassava)
Lineage: Eukaryota; Viridiplantae; Streptophyta; Magnoliopsida; Malpighiales; Euphorbiaceae
Description: long non-coding RNA (MESC_LNC006504)
Source: RNAcentral
UUCUCUCUCUAGUUUGUUCUUGAGAGAGCUUUUUCUUUCAACUGCAGAGAAGUUUUUUGAAUAAUGUCUCUUUCUUUGCCACUUCCGUUACCUCCCUUGCUUCGUUCAGGCAGGGGGUUCGCUCUCUGGCUGGAGAGUAGGUCUUCCUCUACUCCUCUGGGUAGUGUGUAAAUAUUUAGUUUCCUUUGUUUUCUUCCCGUAUAUUCAACUGUCCUUUGAGAGGAUUUCUUAUUGAUCUAUUUUUGUGUGUGUUUCUUUUCUCUUGACAGAUCUAGUUCUCAAGUGUCACUAUUUUAAGAUCAGUUGAGUGUUUUAUUGUAACUUGGCCUGUGUUGCUCCCUUAAUUACAUGUAGAUGGAGGAGUCUCAGAUCUGAUAUUUACAAGGUUGUUUAUUCGGUGGAUGAAAGCAAAGGGGUUGCUCAUAGAGUUUGACCCGAGAGGCACGAUUGGGUUGCAGAGAAUGUUCUUCCUCCUCCUACAUCGAUGCUUUUGAUCUGUGAAGUCUCCUUUGACUCGAUCCAUGGCUCUAUUUCUUCUUUGCUUAUUUUGAGAAGACUUUCGGUGGUUGCAUAUCGAUCUAUUUGUAGUAGCGAUCGUUGGCCUGGUUUAUGGUUUAGCCCCUCUCCCCGAGCUUCAAUGAGUGUUUUUACUAUAAUUCUUGACUGUAAUAGUGGAAUUUCCUUCUUUUGCCGCUGCAGGCAUGUUCAAAUCCAAGUCUCUGUCACUUUUGCAGGGAGGAUCGUUUUCCUCCAUCGC